GAUGAACGCUAGCUACAGGCUUAACACAUGCAAGUCGAGGGGCAGCGGGAUUGAAGCUUGCUUCAAUUGCCGGCGACCGGCGCACGGGUGAGUAACGCGUAUCCAACCUUCCGCUUACUCGGGGAUAGCCUUUCGAAAGAAAGAUUAAUACCCGAUGGUAUCUUAAGCACGCAUGAGAUUAAGAUUAAAGGUAUUCCGGUAGACGAUGGGGAUGCGUUCCAUUAGAUAGUAGGCGGGGUAACGGCCCACCUAGUCUUCGAUGGAUAGGGGUUCUGAGAGGAAGGUCCCCCACAUUGGAACUGAGACACGGUCCAA
This 315-nucleotide ribosomal RNA is filed under the name uncultured bacterium. RNAcentral's name for it is "bacterial SSU rRNA". It matches the Rfam family "Bacterial small subunit ribosomal RNA", at positions 28 to 334 of the family's 1533-position model. The record is from RNAcentral.